UACGUAGGGGGCAAGCGUUGUCCGGAAUCAUUGGGCGUAAAGAGCGUGUAGGCGGCCAGAAAAGUCCGCUGUGAAAACUCGAGGCUCAACUUCGAGCUGUCGGUGGAAACUUUCUGGCUAGAGUCCGGAAGAGGAGAAUGGAAUUCCUGGUGUAGCGGUGAAAUGCGCAGAUAUCGGGAAGAACACCCGUGGCGAAGGCGGCUCUCUGGGACGGUACUGACGCUGAGACGCGAAAGCGUGGGGAGCGAACAGG
RNAcentral lists this ribosomal RNA (253 nucleotides) under uncultured bacterium. RNAcentral describes it as "partial 16S ribosomal RNA". It matches the Rfam family "Bacterial small subunit ribosomal RNA", at positions 524 to 776 of the family's 1533-position model. The record is from RNAcentral.